AUAUCAUUAAGGCUAAAUUCUUGCAUUUAACAAUCUGGCCUUAGGAAAUAUGUCCUCUGCAAAAAUAUACUUCUGCAAAACACAUUGAGCAAUGAAGGUUUUCACCUUAAAUGAAAGUCCCAUGACUAGCAAAUAAAGUACUAAACAAUAGUUCAGAAAACAUAAAAUAUAAACAGGAAGACGAUAUAAAAAUGUCUCACAAAAUAUUUACAUAUAACCACCCAAUUUUAAAUGUUUUAUAUAACCCGCAGCAAAUGCCAACAGGAGUUCACAUCUGGAUCACUCUACUGGACCCUGCAAGGCAGUCCCAGGACAGUGCUUGAGACCUCUCCGAAUGACACAAUAGCAGCCACAUAAUAAAAACAAUACUAAGUAAAUAUCCCUAUAAGGGGAUUAUAUAAUCUCCUUAUCAAGCUAUCCAAAUACUUCAACCCACAAAAAUGAGGCCUGUAAUUUUUUAAGAGUCCAAAGAAUGUCCUUCUUUCAAUGCGGAUUUUGGAUUUUCUUCAAUAUUAUAAGAAAGAUUCUGAAACUCUUGGGGCUACCACCUCAGAAGGAAGAGAAGGAAAGAAAAGAAGAACCAAGUUUUGGAAAGUAGGGGAGUUGAUGACGAAUUCAGCCAAGGCCAUGUUGAAUAUGAGGUACCUAUGGGAAAUAACACAUUCAAGUGACCCGAUCUCUGAAGCAAAAUGGGUAUGUCAGGACUAGAGAUGAAGACUUGCAAGUCAUUAGUGUGUGCGUCUGUGUGCGUGUGUGUGUGUGUGCGUGUAUCUGUUAAAACUCUGAGUGAAAUAGCAGUGGCUCACAGUGGAAUCCAGGGAAAUACCAACAUUUAAGAGGUGGUCAGAAAAGAGCCUGAAAAGGAACGUCAGAGAAAUAACAGCAAUGAGGUCAUGGAAGCCCAAGGCAAGGUGAAUUUUAAGGACAGUGUGGUUGAGAGAGUCAAAUUCAACACAGACAGGGAUGUGGCAAGUGCAACGCAGACAUCAGAGUGUCUUCAGCUAUGCCAGCUGCAGUGCAAUUCUGGGAGAAGUCAAAGUUAAUUGGGUUGAAAGGUGAAUGGGAAGUAAAAAAUGGAGACGAUGAUUGAAAGAGCUCUAACCAUAGGAAGAUGAAAGACAGUUAAAAUCAGAAUAGACACAGGACCAAAGGAGGUGAUGGUGUUGUUGCUGCUAGUUUGUUGUUGUUGUUUUGGGGUUUCUUUUUUUUUUUUUUAGUAUAGAAAAGAAUUGAGCAUUUUUAUGAUUUGAGGAGAAAUAACAGUACAAAGUAAGAGACUGGUGAUAGAAGAAAAAUGAUAGAAGGAUAAAGAAGAUAGAAAUGAAAGAUAAAGAGUACAGAAAGGGACUAUACUUGAACAGAAAUGGAGCUGCCUCAUCUUGUGAACCUGGGGAUGUUGGGAGAGUAAGGGCAGAUAUAUGUCCUUUGUGGGGAAAAGGAUAGAAAGUUUUUAGAGAGGUUAUAUUUGACCUUUCCAUUUUACUUCAUCAGAGCAGAGACUAAAUGAUCUGUAGGAGAGUAAGGGUGAGAAGUUGGAAAGAAGGCUUAAUGAGAGCACUGGGACAAUCAGUCAUUGAAAAGUGGGGGGCACCUGGAUUGCUCAGUCAGUUAAGCAUCCGACUCUUGGUUAGGGCUCAGGUCAUGAUCUCAAGGUUGGUCGUAGUUGAGCCCACAUUGGGCUCCAUGCUCAGUGUGGAGUAUGCUUUGGAUUCUUGCUCCCUCCCUUCAGCCUCUCCUCACACUCUCUCCAUCUCUCAAAUAAAUAAAUAAGAUCUUCAAAAAAAAAAAAAAAAGAGAGAGAGAGAGAGGGAACAUAACAAGAAUUAAUAAAAAAUGGCUGGCAAAACACAACACCAUAGAACUCAUAGACGAUAACAUAGAAAAAAGUCUAGAAGACUUUGGGUAUAAUGACAUCUUUCUAGACACAGAACCAAAGACACAACCCAUGCAAUAAAUAACUGAUAAGCCGGACUUCAUUAAAAUUAAAAACUUCUGCUCUUCAAAAGACAGUAUCAAGAGAAUGAGAAGACAAGCCACAGAUUGGCACAAAAUAUUUGCAAAAGACAUAUAUGAUAAAGGACAGUUAUCCAAAAUAUACAGAGAACUCUUAAAACUCAAUAAUAAGAAAACACACAACCUGAUUAAAAAUGGGCCAAAGACUUUAACAGAUGCCCCAUACAGAUGGCAAAUAAGCAUAUAAAAAGAUCUUCCAUAUCAUAUGCCAUCAGAGAAAUGCAAAUUAAAACAAUGAGAUAACGGGCGCCUGGGUGGCUCAGUUGGUUAAGCGACUGCCUUCAGCUCAGGUCAUGAUCCCAGGGUCCUGGGAUUGAGUCCCGCCAUCGGGCUCCCUGCUCUGCAGGGAGCCUGCUUCUCCCUCUCCCACUCCCCCUGCUUGUGUUCCCUCUCUCGCUGUGUCUCUCUCUGUCAAAUAAAUAAAUAAAAUCUUUAAAAAAAAAAAAAACAAUGAGAUACCAUUACACACCUAAUAAAAUGCCCCAAAUCCCAAAAACUGACAACACCAAAUGUAGGAUGUGGAACAGGAAUUCUCAGACAUUUGCUAGUGGGAAUGCAAAAUGGUACAGCCACUUCGGAAGAUGGUUUGGCACUUUCUUAUGAAACUAAAUAUAUUCUUACCAUGUGAUCCAGAAACUGUGAUCCUUGUUAUUCACCCAAAGGAGUUAAAAACUUAUAUACACACAUGUAUGUUUAAAGCAGCUUUAUUCAUAACUGCCAAAACCUGGAAGUAACUGAGAUGUCCUCCAGUAGAUGAGUAGAUAAACACAACAUGAUACAUCUAGAUAAUGGAAUAUUAUUCAACAGUAAAAAGAAAUGAGCUUUCAAGCCAUGAAGAGACAUAAAGGAAACUCAGGUGCAUAUUGUUAAGUGAAAGAAGCCAAUCUGAAAAGGCCAUAUAGUAUAACAUUCCAACUAUAGGAUAUUCUAGAAAAGGCUAAACUAUGGACACAAAAAAAAAUCAGUGGUUGUCAGGAGUGAGGGUGGGGGUGAAGAAGUGAUGAAUAGACAGAGCACAGAGGACUUUUAGGACUAAAAAUAAUCUGCAUGCUAUUAAAAUGAUGGAUAUAUAUCAUUAUACCUUCUUCCAAACCCAUACAGUGUACAACUCUGAGAGUGAACCCUAAGGUAACUAUGUACUUUGGGUGAUGAUGUGUCAAUAUCGCUUCAUCCUUGGUUAAAAAAAAAAUUCUGGUAAGUUAUGUUGGUAAUGGGGGAAGGUACGCAUUUAUGGGGGCAGAGAGUAUAUGAGAAAUCUCCAUACCUUGUCUUCAAUUUGUUGUAAACCUAAAAGUGCUCUAAAAAAAUAAA
Mirounga angustirostris (Northern elephant seal) is the source of this 3324-nucleotide long non-coding RNA. RefSeq lists it as uncharacterized. Lineage: Eukaryota; Metazoa; Chordata; Mammalia; Carnivora; Phocidae. The record is from RefSeq and is a predicted model, not a curated record. The transcript is spliced from 3 exons.